Non-coding RNA from Lizanozyma spartinae, 73 nucleotides. Lineage: Eukaryota; Fungi; Ascomycota; Pichiomycetes; Serinales; Debaryomycetaceae. The record is from the annotation of a RefSeq genome assembly.
GGGCAUGUGGCGUAGUUGGUAGCGCGUUCGCUUAGCAUGCGAAAGGUCUCCGGUUCGACUCCGGACUCGUCCA